RNAcentral lists this transfer RNA (23 nucleotides) under Aedes aegypti (yellow fever mosquito). Its description in RNAcentral is "partial tRNA-Leu". Lineage: Eukaryota; Metazoa; Arthropoda; Insecta; Diptera; Culicidae. The record is from RNAcentral.
UUUCUAAUAAAAGAUAAUAAUCU